GGCAGAGGGUGCAAACGUUGUUCGGAAUUACUGGGCGUAAGGAGCGCGCAGGCGGUCGUUCAAGUCGAGUGUGAAAGCCCCCGGCUCAACUGGGGAGGGUCAUUCGAUACUGAUCGACUGGAAGGCAGGAGAGGGAAGCGGAAUUCCCGGUGUAGUGGUGAAAUGCGUAGAUAUCGGGAGGAACACCAGUGGCGAAGGCGGCUUCCUGGCCUGUUCUUGACGCUGAGGCGCGAAAGCUAGGGGAGCAAACGGG
Molecule: ribosomal RNA, 253 nt
Filed under: uncultured bacterium
Lineage: Bacteria
Description: partial 16S ribosomal RNA
Rfam family: Bacterial small subunit ribosomal RNA
Source: RNAcentral